This is a long non-coding RNA of Thalassophryne amazonica, 1114 nucleotides long. RefSeq lists it as uncharacterized. The record is from RefSeq and is a predicted model, not a curated record. NCBI's taxonomy places the organism in Eukaryota, Metazoa, Chordata, Actinopteri, Batrachoidiformes, Batrachoididae. The transcript is spliced from 7 exons.
GCCCCAUCCCGUGAACUGCGCUGCUCCGUUGUUUCUGUUCGGAGCUGAUGAAAGCAAACAUGGAGUCGGACAACAUUUAUUUACAGUUUUCUAUGCAUUUUAUGAACACCAAAUUCCUGUGCAUCCAUGCUGUGCAUUUAUUCUGUUCAUGAGGUUCUUAACUCCACUGAUUAUCACACUGUUUUCCUGCUCACGCAGACACACAGCAGAUGACAGACACACACACACACACCUGCAUAUUGAUGACCUGCUGUUUGGAAUAAAGCUGAUAAAAGGAUUAUCUCCCUUACCAAAAAUAGUAUAUAAAAAGUAAACUAGAAGUAUACUUGUAACAUACUUGCAUAUACUACUUUUUGGUAAGGGCUGGCUGGAAUCUAUCUGUAGUGUUCCCAUCCUAAGACGAACCACUAUUCCAUACUUUAGAAGGCUUCUAGUAACGAUGUGUCUAAAAUUUGUGUGAAGCGUGUUAACAGUGGUCUGUGCAAUUACGCCUCAAUCUCAAGUUUGGUGAACACCUGUGUUUGGACGUGGCCUCGAAAAGACAUCAAGAGUCAGGAGCAGAAAAGAGAAAGAAGAUGAGACAGUGGGAUGAUGCUCGUGUGUCACUUGCAGGGUCAGUGCUGAGAUACGUACAAGGAGGAACUCAAGGCCAAGAGGAAGAUUUAGAUGAUCAACCAUCCACCAGCAGUUCAAGCCCACAACAUCAACCACUAACCAGCUGGUCUGUAGAUUCUGCAACAGCACUCAGCUGACCAACAACCAUUUCAGGUGGUGUUGUGUUGCUGUCCUUGAAGGGACGUUCGUGUUUAGGAGUGUGGACUCUUCUUUGAUUGGACCAAAUCUGCAGCCCCCCAGCAUCAGCCGGCUCACAACAACAAUCCCCACUGCUUCUGUGUCUAUGAACCCCUCCCCCUUGACAACACGCUCCAAUACGCAACCCCCCCCAACCAUUUCCGGGCUCCAGUCUGUCCUUCACAUCAGUUCAGGAGGAGACUCUCUGUCCUACAGUCCACACAGAGACACUGAGGAACCAGAACCAGACAACAACCUGAACCUGAACCCAGCACACACAGGUUCAGUGAACGUGCAGCAGAAGGUGGAUGUAAAUCAGAGA